Molecule: small RNA, 75 nt
Filed under: Xanthomonas campestris
Lineage: Bacteria; Pseudomonadati; Pseudomonadota; Gammaproteobacteria; Lysobacterales; Lysobacteraceae
Also listed under: 2 other names
Description: sX9 sRNA
Rfam family: Xanthomonas sRNA sX9
Source: RNAcentral
AUGUACCCAUGUACAUUCCGGUUCCUCCGCGCCGUCCGCACCCACCUGACGACUGCUCGCUACGUUUUGUUAGCC